CCAAGGGCAUGGCAGCAGCAUCUGGUGGGGUUCUGUGCUACAUUACCCCAUGGUGGAAGGGCAGAGGGCAGAGGGCAGAAGAGGAAAGGCAGAAGAGAAAGACAGCAUGGGAGACAGCAAGAAAAUGGAGGCCAAAACUUAUCCUUUUAUCAGGAAUCCACUCCCACAAGAUUGCACAGAGUUCUUGAUAUUGAAGAGUGAACCAUGUUCAAGGAAGAAGAGAUCACCCCAUAAAACCCUUCCAGCUUGUGUUACAAUCAGAUGCCUCUAAGAUGGACAAAAAAGGCACACAGAGAUAUUCCCUACUCAGGCUCUGGUCAAAUCUCUCUCCACUUAAUGGAGCAUGGCUUUCAACUGCACCUGGAGCAUGUUUGUAAACAAUGCCAUCAGGAAUAAAAGUGUUUGAAGCUGAAGCUGGGUCUUCCAUCCAAAUGUGGAAAGCGUGCCAGAGGACUGUCUUUCCCAUUCCCGCCCCACCUGCACAGCCAUAGACAAAGCUCAGCUCCGGGAUAAGGUAAAUGUCAAGAGCCACACAGCAGCAUGCCUUCCCUUCAAGACAGAACAAAGGGUGGUUUUCUUGGCCAACCUACUGCACAGGAGGAAGCCAAGCAACACCAUUGAUUUAAGCCCCAAGGAAAACCUAAAAUCUUUGGCCACUUCAGGUUGUAAAUCUGGCAUCAGAUGUCAGAAACUUGUGUGAAAACAGAGACUACUAGGUUUUACUAUGGCUUGAAAGGAAUAACCCAAAGAAAAGCCUGACCCCAAAAAAGGACUGUCCCAGGCUCAGGGCCCCACAGCGACCACAUGCCUGGGCAGGGAACUGCCGGGAAGGUAGCCCAGAAUGGUCACAUCUCACUCUGCAGCCCCCUCACCGGACAAGGACACCUCCUGUCAGGUUCCGAGUUCUAGUCAUUCUUCCUUGUCUCUGAGAGCUGUCCAUCUUUUCAUACCAUUUCUAUUGCCACCCGUGGUUCAGCCUGAGGUGCCUCGGAGGACUCACUGGCCAGGCCCCAUGGGCACUCUACACACAUGAUUGAGCAAGACCUCUAAAUGAGACCACAAAGCAGGCCCAUUUCCUUCAGGUGACUGACAUGGGAACUCAGGCUGAGAGCAACUGACCAAGCAGACACAGCUAAAAAGAUGGAGCCAGGAUUCCAGCCAGGAUCUGCCUGACUUUAAGUAAUAUGUGUUUCCCACUAAACCCAUGUCAUGGCUUUCCCCAGCUCUCGAAGCUUUGAUGGCCCCACUGCCUACUGAAUUCAGUCUUAGCUGCCAAUCCAGGGGCCAAGCCCUCCGUGCCCUGCCCUGCCCUACUCUUCAGCCUUGCCCAGCUUUUCCCCUCCAUGAACAUCCUCAAGUCCCCCCCACACUCAAGACUCCCCAGGAGUGUCCCUUUGCUCAUCUGCAAUGUCCUUACUACCAGCCCAUCUGCCCUUUCCAAGUCCUGCUCACUCAUCAAUACUUCUGUGACCCCCUGCCGUGAGAACACAUUCUCUGCUAAACCCCUGCUCUUCCAGCGCACUUUCCUCAGAGUUAUGUACAGAGAGGGUCUCCCCCUGCUAGACUGAGCCACCUCGGAGGAAGAGCCUGUGCCUGGAUUUUCACAUCUUUGUAUGUCCUUCCAUCCUUAGCAAAGGCACCUGGAAUGUAAUCAAAAUCACCAAAUAUGUGUUGGAUAGAUGAAUAGGUGGAUGGAUUAUAAAUAAAUAAAGUAUUUAUCUAGGUUGUUACCUCUCA
RNAcentral lists this long non-coding RNA (1737 nucleotides) under Homo sapiens (human). RNAcentral's name for it is "HSALNT0380191". The record is from RNAcentral. Lineage: Eukaryota; Metazoa; Chordata; Mammalia; Primates; Hominidae.